RNAcentral lists this ribosomal RNA (543 nucleotides) under Acanthocyclus albatrossis. RNAcentral describes it as "partial 16S ribosomal RNA". It matches the Rfam family "Bacterial large subunit ribosomal RNA", at positions 1807 to 2610 of the family's 2925-position model. Lineage: Eukaryota; Metazoa; Arthropoda; Malacostraca; Decapoda; Belliidae. The record is from RNAcentral.
UCAAAAACAUGUCUGUUUGAAGCUUUAAAAAGUCUGGCCUGCCCACUGAGAAAAUUUAAGGGCCGCAGUAUCCUGACUGUGCAAAGGUAGCAUAAUCAUUAGUCUUUUAAUUGGAGGCUUGUAUGAAUGGUUGGACAAAAGAAAAACUGUUUCUAUUUUAAAAAUUGAAUUUAACUUUUAAGUGAAAAGGCUUAAAUGAUCUAAAGGGACGAUAAGACCCUAUAAAGCUUUAUAUAUUAAUAAUUAUUAAUUUGAAUUAAAAAAUAAUAAAUAAAUAUUGUUAACUAUAUUAUGUUGGGGCGACAAAAGUAUAAUUUUUAGUAACUGCUUUAUUUCGUUACAUUGAUAAAUGAUUUAUAAAAGUAAAUGAUCCUUUAUAAAGAUUAUAAGAUUAAGUUACUUUAGGGAUAACAGCGUAAUUUUUCUUGAGAGCCCAUAUCGAAAGAAAAGAUUGCGACCUCGAUGUUGAAUUAAAAUUUCUUUAUUAUGCAGCAGUAAUAUAAGAAGGUCUGUUCGACCUUUAAAUUUUUACGUGAUCUGAGU